UCCGUAGGUGAACCUGCGGAAGGAUCAUUAGUGAAUUGAAUAUGUUAGCGGACCUCUUCGGAGUCCCUAGCAUCAAAUCAUAUCCAUAACACCUGUGAACUGUAAGGCUGUCUUGAAAACGAAAGUGAUUAGAGCGCCUGCCCAUUUUAUACAAACAUUAAAGUAACAAACGUAGUCUUAUUAUAAUCUAAUAAAACUUUCAACAACGGAUCUCUUGGCUCUCGCAUCGAUGAAGAACGCAGCGAAAUGCGAUAAGUAAUGUGAAUUGCAGAAUUCAGUGAAUCAUCGAAUCUUUGAACGCACCUUGCGCUCUUUGGUAUUCCGAAGAGCAUGCCUGUUUGAGUGUCAUGAAAAUAUCAACCUUGACUUGGGUUUAGUGCUCUUGUCUUGGCUUGGAUUUGGCUGUUUGCCGCUCGAAAGAGUCGGCUCAGCUUAAAAGUAUUAGCUGGAUCUGUCUUUGAGACUUGGUUUGACUUGGCGUAAUAAGUUAUUUCGCUGAGGACAAUCUUCGGAUUGGCCGAGUUUCUGGGACGUUUGUCCGCUUUCUAAUACAAGUUCUAGCUUGCUAGACAUGACUUUUUUAUUAUCUGGCCUCAAAUCAGGUAGGACUACCCGCUGAACUUAAGCAUA
RNAcentral lists this ribosomal RNA (630 nucleotides) under uncultured fungus. Its description in RNAcentral is "eukaryotic LSU rRNA". The stretch from base 195 to 348 matches the Rfam family "5.8S ribosomal RNA". Lineage: Eukaryota; Fungi. The record is from RNAcentral.